Molecule: ribosomal RNA, 254 nt
Filed under: uncultured bacterium
Lineage: Bacteria
Description: partial 16S ribosomal RNA
Rfam family: Bacterial small subunit ribosomal RNA
Source: RNAcentral
UACGUAGGGGGCUAGCGUUGUCCGGAAUCAUUGGGCGUAAAGCGCGUGUAGGCGGUUCGGUAAGUCCGCUGUGAAAGUCGGGGGCUCAACCCUCGAAUGCCGGUGGAUACUGUCGGGCUAGAGUGCGGAAGAGGCGAGUGGAAUUCCUGGUGUAGCGGUGAAAUGCGCAGAUAUCAGGAGGAACACCAAUUGCGAAGGCAGCUCGCUGGGACGCUACUGACGCUGGAGACGCGAAAGCGUGGGGAGCAAACAGG